RNAcentral lists this ribosomal RNA (341 nucleotides) under Nematoda environmental sample. RNAcentral's name for it is "bacterial SSU rRNA". It matches the Rfam family "Eukaryotic small subunit ribosomal RNA", at positions 1300 to 1665 of the family's 1831-position model. Lineage: Eukaryota; Metazoa; Nematoda. The record is from RNAcentral.
CGUGGAGUGAUUUGUCUGGUUUAUUCCGAUAACGGGCGAGACUCUAACCUACUAAAUAGUUGAUAUUUUUCUAUAAGAGUAUACAACUUCUUAGAGGGAUCUGCGGUGUUUAGCCGAAAGAAAUUGAGCAAUAACAGGUCUGUGAUGCCCUUAGAUGUCCGGGGCUGCACGCGCGCUACACUGGCAAAAUCAACGUGCUUGUCCUUCCCCGAAAGGGGCGGGUAAACCAUUGAACCUCCUUCGUGCUAGGGAUUGGGGCUUGCAAUUUUUCCCCAUGAACGAGGAAUUCCCAGUAAGCGCGAGUCAUAAGCUCGCGUUGAAUACGUCCCUGCCCUUUGUAC